GAUGAAGAACGCAGCGAAUUGCGAUAAGUAAUGUGAAUUGCAGAAUUCAGUGAAUCAUCGAAUCUUUGAACGCACAUUGCGCCCCCUGGUAUUCCGGGGGGCAUGCCUGUCCGAGCGUCAUUACAACCCUCAAGCUCAGCUUGGUGUUGGGCCCCGCCGCCCCGGCGGGCCCUAAAGUCAGUGGCGGUGCCGUCCGGCUCCGAGCGUAGUAAUUCUUCUCGCUCUGGAGGUCCGGUCGUGUGCUCGCCAGCAACCCCCAAUUUUUUUCAGGUUGACCUCGGAUCAGGUAGGGAUACCCGCUGAACUUAAGCAUAUCAAUAAGCGGAGGA
Molecule: unclassified non-coding RNA, 329 nt
Filed under: soil metagenome
Description: partial contains 5.8S ribosomal RNA, internal transcribed spacer 2, and large subunit ribosomal RNA
Rfam family: 5.8S ribosomal RNA (bases 1-120)
Source: RNAcentral